Molecule: long non-coding RNA, 306 nt
Filed under: Elaeis guineensis (African oil palm)
Lineage: Eukaryota; Viridiplantae; Streptophyta; Magnoliopsida; Arecales; Arecaceae
Description: long non-coding RNA (EGUI_LNC043569)
Source: RNAcentral
UCGAUCCAACAUAUUAAUUCAACCUGCAUAACUCAUUUAAAAAGCAGGUCAGAUCAGGUUAUUAUGGGUUAGACAGGUUUUAAAUAGCUAAAUGAGUCUCAGAUGACUUAAAUGAGUAAAUGGAUUGCAUUAAAUCCAUGUUAGACCGACAUAAUUAUUAAACGGGUCAAGACGGAUUAGAUGGCUUUGAACUCCGAAUCUAAAAUGGACCAGAUUAAUAAAUGAGUCAAGUCAGAUUGUUUAUAGCACAGACUCAUUUAUGCUAGACCUAUAUCCGCUUAUUUCAAGUCUGUUAUGGGUUAGCUU